GUAGGUGGCAAGCGUUGUCCGGAAUUAUUGGGCGUAAAGCGCGCGCAGGCGGUUCUUUAAGUCUGAUGUGAAAGCCCACGGCUCAACCGUGGAGGGUCAUUGGAAACUGGAGAACUUGAGUACAGAAGAGGAAAGCGGAAUUCCACGUGUAGCGGUGAAAUGCGUAGAGAUGUGGAGGAACACCAGUGGCGAAGGCGGCUUUCUGGUCUGUAACUGACGCUGAGGCGCGAAAGCGUGGGGAGCAAACAGGAUUAGAUACCCUGGUAGUCCACGCCGUAAACGAUGAGUGCUAAGUGUUAGGGGGGUUUUACCGCCCCCCUUAGUGCUGCAGCUAACGCAUUAAGCACUCCGCCUGGGAGUACGGCCGCAAGGCUG
RNAcentral lists this ribosomal RNA (375 nucleotides) under uncultured organism. Its description in RNAcentral is "partial 16S ribosomal RNA". It matches the Rfam family "Bacterial small subunit ribosomal RNA", at positions 527 to 896 of the family's 1533-position model. The record is from RNAcentral.